UCCAGACUCCUACGGGAGGCAGCAGUGGGGAAUAUUGGGCAAUGGAGGAAACUCUGACCCAGCAACGCCGCGUGAAGGAUGAAGGUUUUCGGAUUGUAAACUUCUGUCGCGAGGGACGAAGAAUGACGGUACCUCGUAAGAAAGCCCCGGCUAACUACGUGCCAGCAGCCGCGGUAAUACGUAGGUGGCAAGCGUUGUCCGGAUUUACUGGGUGUAAAGGGCGUGCAGCCGGAGAGACAAGUCAGAUGUGAAAUCCACGGGCUCAACCCGUGAACUGCAUUUGAAACUGUUUCCCUUGAGUGUCGGAGAGGUAAUCGGAAUUCCUUGUGUAGCGGUGAAAUGCGUAGAUAUAAGGAAGAACACCAGUGGCGAAGGCGGAUUACUGGACGAUAACUGACGGUGAGGCGCGAAAGCGUGGGGAGCAAACAGGAUUAGAUACCCGGGUA
Molecule: ribosomal RNA, 446 nt
Filed under: uncultured bacterium
Lineage: Bacteria
Description: bacterial SSU rRNA
Rfam family: Bacterial small subunit ribosomal RNA
Source: RNAcentral